RNAcentral lists this long non-coding RNA (206 nucleotides) under Lathyrus oleraceus (garden pea). Its description in RNAcentral is "Pisum sativum (pea) long non-coding RNA (PSAT_LNC011359)". Lineage: Eukaryota; Viridiplantae; Streptophyta; Magnoliopsida; Fabales; Fabaceae. The record is from RNAcentral.
AAUAUUAAUAUUAAAUAAAGACGAAAAUAAAAAUUAAAUAAAAUUAAAUAAGGCAUUAAGAAAUAUGGAAAAUAUUUUUUGAUAUUUUUAUGAAUAAAUAAAAUAUUUUAAAAUAAUUAAAAUCAGAACAGAAAAAUGGAUGUGAAUUAAAAAAGAAAAUAAAAAUGGACAUGUGUUAGUGUUGAUGGGCCAGGCAGGGGAGGUGU